CCGUAGCCCAAGAGAUCGGGAUAACACCUGGAAACAGAUGCUAAUACCGGAUAACAACAGAUGAUGCCUAUCAACUGCUUAAAAGAUGGUUCUGCUAUCACUCUUGGAUGGACCUGCGGUGCAUUAGCUAGUUGGUAGGGUAACGGCCUACCAAGGCGAUGAUGCAUAGCCGAGUUGAGAGACUGAUCGGCCACAUUGGGACUGAGACACGGCCCAAACUCCUACGGGAGGCAGCAGGU
Molecule: ribosomal RNA, 239 nt
Filed under: uncultured Lactobacillus sp.
Lineage: Bacteria; Bacillati; Bacillota; Bacilli; Lactobacillales; Lactobacillaceae
Description: partial 16S ribosomal RNA
Rfam family: Bacterial small subunit ribosomal RNA
Source: RNAcentral